RNAcentral lists this ribosomal RNA (497 nucleotides) under uncultured bacterium. Its description in RNAcentral is "partial 16S ribosomal RNA". It matches the Rfam family "Bacterial small subunit ribosomal RNA", at positions 28 to 507 of the family's 1533-position model. The record is from RNAcentral.
GAUGAACGCUGGCGGCGUGCCUAAUACAUGCAAGUCGAGCGAACGGACGAGAAGCUUGCUUCUCUGAUGUUAGCGGCGGACGGGUGAGUAACACGUGGAUAACCUACCUAUAAGACUGGGAUAACUUCGGGAAACCGUAGCUAAUACCGGAUAAUAUUUUGAACCGCAUGGUUCAAAAGUGAAAGACGGUCUUGCUGUCACUUAUAGAUGGAUCCGCGCUGCAUUAGCUAGUUGGUAAGGUAACGGCUUACCAAGGCAACGAUGCAUAGCCGACCUGAGAGGGUGAUCGGCCACACUGGAACUGAGACACGGUCCAGACUCCUACGGGAGGCAGCAGUAGGGAAUCUUCCGCAAUGGGCGAAAGCCUGACGAAGCAACGCCGCGUGAGUGAUGAAGGUCUUCGGAUCGUAAAACUCUGUUAUUAGGGAAGAACAUAUGUGUAAGUAACUGUGCACAUCUUGACGGUACCUAAUCAGAAAGCCACGGCUAACUACGUG